This 460-nucleotide ribosomal RNA is filed under the name uncultured bacterium. RNAcentral describes it as "partial 16S ribosomal RNA". It matches the Rfam family "Bacterial small subunit ribosomal RNA", at positions 338 to 795 of the family's 1533-position model. The record is from RNAcentral.
CCUACGGGCGGCAGCAGUGAGGAAUAUUGGUCAAUGGACGAGAGUCUGAACCAGCCAAGUAGCGUGCAGGAUGACUGCCCUAUGGGUUGUAAACUUCUUUUAUAAGGGAAUAAAACGAGGCACGUGUACCUUUUUGCAUGUAAUUUAUGAAUAAGGAUCGGCUAACUCCGUGCCAGCAGCCGCGGUAAUACGGAGGAUCCGAGCGUUAUCCGGAUUUCUUGGGUUUAAAGGGAGCGUAGGCCGGUCUUUAAGCGUGCCGUGAAAUUUUGGGGCUCAACCCUGGGAGUGCGGCGAGAACUGGAGACCUUGAGUGUGCGGAAGGCAGGCGGAAUUCGUGGUGUAGCGGUGAAAUGCUUAGAUAUCACGAAGAACCCCGAUUGCGAAGGCAGCAUGCCGCAGCGUUACUGACGCUGAAGCUCGAAAGCGCGGGUAUCGAACAGGAUUAGAUACCCCGGUAGUC